UGCCCGGGUAACUCACCAAAC
This 21-nucleotide unclassified non-coding RNA is filed under the name Mus musculus (house mouse). Its description in RNAcentral is "oocyte_clustered_small_RNA14287". The record is from RNAcentral. Lineage: Eukaryota; Metazoa; Chordata; Mammalia; Rodentia; Muridae.